GAGUUUGAUCGUGGCUCAGAUUGAACGCUGGCGGCAGGCUUAACACAUGCAAGUCGAGCGGGGGAGAUUGCUUCGGUAAUUGACCUAGCGGCGGACGGGUGAGUAAUACUUAGGAAUCUGCCUAUUAAUGGGGGACAACAUCUCGAAAGGGAUGCUAAUACCGCAUACGCCCUACGGGGAAAGCAGGGGAUCACUUGUGACCUUGCGUUAAUAGAUGAGCCUAAGUCGGAUUAGCUAGUUGGUGGGGUAAAGGCCUACCAAGGCGACGAUCUGUAGCGGGUCUGAGAGGAUGAUCCGCCACACUGGGACUGAGACACGGCCCAGACUCCUACGGGAGGCAGCAGUGGGGAAUAUUGGACAAUGGGGGGAACCCUGAUCCAGCCAUGCCGCGUGUGUGAAGAAGGCCUUAUGGUUGUAAAGCACUUUAAGCGAGGAGGAGGCUCCUGUAGUUAAUACCUACAGAGAGUGGACGUUACUCGCAGAAUAAGCACCGGCUAACUCUGUGCCAGCAGCCGAC
RNAcentral lists this ribosomal RNA (517 nucleotides) under uncultured microorganism. RNAcentral describes it as "bacterial SSU rRNA". It matches the Rfam family "Bacterial small subunit ribosomal RNA", at positions 9 to 518 of the family's 1533-position model. The record is from RNAcentral.